This 38-nucleotide ribosomal RNA is filed under the name Avian schistosomatid sp. I4. RNAcentral describes it as "partial 28S ribosomal RNA". Lineage: Eukaryota; Metazoa; Platyhelminthes; Trematoda; Strigeidida; Schistosomatidae. The record is from RNAcentral.
CUGACCUCGCAUCAGAUGUCAGUACCCCCUGAACUUAA